Long non-coding RNA from Orcinus orca (killer whale), 1496 nucleotides. RefSeq lists it as uncharacterized. Lineage: Eukaryota; Metazoa; Chordata; Mammalia; Artiodactyla; Delphinidae. The transcript is spliced from 3 exons. The record is from RefSeq and is a predicted model, not a curated record.
GCCCUCUUGGUCUCCAAGCCACUUGUGGGUAGAUCUGAAUGGCUUUCUGAAUAGAGCUGCUGCACAGAUGUGGAUGAUCGCAGAGCUGAAGGAUGAGGUCUCAGAGAUGGUUAUGGUGGUAGAAAUGAGGCCACUUAUCUCUGCAGCCUCAUCUCCUAACACCUACACUCCAGCCAGCCCAACCUUUCUCUUCCUCUUCUGUACCAAGCUUGUCCCAGCUCAGGGCUUUUGCCCCUCUGCCCGGGGUACCCUCUGUUCAGAAGGCUCGGUCUCCACAUCACCACUGUGGCUGCCCCUUUCCUCCAUUUGCAUCUUGGCUGGAAUGUCAUUUCCUCAGACACACCCUGCCUGACCAUCCUGCUAAUGGUGCCUUGUACCACUCCUGUUACUCUCUCAUGGGAUUUCUUUUGUUCUGGGUCCUUAUCACUACGGAAAAUCUUAAGUCUUUGUUUCUUCUGUCUAGCCCCUUGAAUGGAAGCCCCAGGAGAGCAGGAUCCUGUCUGUCCUGUUCAGUGCUGUAGCCCCAGAGGCUGGAGCAGAGGCUGGACAUUCUGAGUGCUCUGUGCCUAUUUGCUGAAUGAGCAUCUUGCCUCGCCAUGUGCGGGACCACUUCUCUGGGAUGUAGAUUUUCUUUUCCUUGUUUUACAGGUGAGCCAACAGAGGCCCAGAAAGGCUGAGUGACUUGUUCAAGAUCCCCUCGCCGGUGAGAAGGGGACCCUGGGUGGUGGUGGAUUCUGAAGACAUGUGGUUUUUACUGGCUGAGGCUCAGCUGGACCACCCACACAUCUGUUUCCAGCCUGGGGGCCCUUGGAUCUUCCGUGAGACCGAGAUGGCUCCUGAGUCAUAAGUGAUGUCACCUCCAUCCAAGCCUCCUGGAGCAUUUUGUUAAAUGAACCUGGGGCAGCGCCUUCCAGAACAGUCUGACUCUAGGUUUGCAACUCAAAAUUACACUAUACCAUGGGACCUAUGAGAUGACUUCUGUCUAGAGGACAAGGCAGACCCGUCCCACCAAGAUAGGGCUAAGUCACUCAUCAGAACACACGUCUGAAUUAUUCCCCUGAACUUUAUGAAGACUGCUAAGAUCAAGUCUUACUAAGAAUGAUUAAAUAAACAAACAAAAACCUGACUUCUUUCCAGUGCCAGUUGAAUGCUCUUUCUUGAGCACAAGUAGCAAAAAAUGAAAAGAGAAAAGCAAAUCAUUCCCAACAUGGGGCACGGAGUUUCCCUGGUCUUCUCUAGUCCAUGUUCUCAUAUCUUCCUAAUUCCUCUCUCCCUUUUCCCUCCCUCUCCUUCCUCCUGCUUCUCCUCCCAACAAAUGAAUUUGUAAUCAUCAGUUAGCAAUCCUCAGGAAAAUCUUCAAGAGGAAGGCGGUGUAUUGUGAAGCAGGAAACAAGGACUCUGAUAUCAGAGAGACUUGGGUCCCAGCUCUGCCAUCUCCUGGCUGUGUCAUCACAGGUAAGCUACUGAACCUUUCUGAGUCUCAGUUUUCUCUUGUA